GUGGGGAAUAUUGGACAAUGGGCGAAAGCCUGAUCCAGCCAUGCCGCGUGUGUGAAGAAGGUCUUCGGAUUGUAAAGCACUUUAAGUUGGGAGGAAGGGCAGUAAGUUAAUACCUUGCUGUUUUGACGUUACCAACAGAAUAAGCACCGGCUAACUUCGUGCCAGCAGCCGCGGUAAUACGAAGGGUGCAAGCGUUAAUCGGAAUUACUGGGCGUAAAGCGCGCGUAGGUGGUUCAGCAAGUUGGAGGUGAAAUCCCCGGGCUCAACCUGGGAACUGCCUCAAAAACUACUGAGCUAGAGUACGGUAGAGGGUAGUGGAAUUUCCUGUGUAGCGGUGAAAUGCGUAGAUAUAGGAAGGAACACCAGUGGCGAAGGCGACUACCUGGACUGAUACUGACACUGAGGUGCGAAAGCGUGGGGAGCAAACAGGAUUAGAUACCCGAGUAGUCC
RNAcentral lists this ribosomal RNA (450 nucleotides) under uncultured bacterium. RNAcentral's name for it is "partial 16S ribosomal RNA". It matches the Rfam family "Bacterial small subunit ribosomal RNA", at positions 354 to 796 of the family's 1533-position model. The record is from RNAcentral.